Molecule: ribosomal RNA, 504 nt
Filed under: uncultured bacterium
Lineage: Bacteria
Description: partial 16S ribosomal RNA
Rfam family: Bacterial small subunit ribosomal RNA
Source: RNAcentral
AUUGAACGCUGGCGGCAGGCCUAACACAUGCAAGUCGAACGGUAGCACAGAGAGCUUGCUCUCGGGUGACGAGUGGCGGACGGGUGAGUAACGUCUGGGAAACUGCCCGAUGGAGGGGGAUAACUACUGGAAACGGUAGCUAAUACCGCAUAACGUCGCAAGACCAAAGUGGGGGACCUUCGGGCCUCACACCAUCGGAUGUGCCCAGAUGGGAUUAGCUAGUAGGUGGGGUAAUGGCUCACCUAGGCGACGAUCCCUAGCUGGUCUGAGAGGAUGACCAGCCAAACGGGAACUGAGACACGGUCCAGACUCCUACGGGAGGCAGCAGUGGGGAAUAUUGCACAAUGGGCGCAAGCCCGAUGCAGCCAUGCCGCGUGUAUGAAGAAGGCCUUCGGGUUGUAAAGUACUUUCAGCGGGGAGGAAGGCGGUGAAGUUAAUAGCUUCACCGAUUGACGUUACCCGCAGAAGAAGCACCGGCUAACUCCGUGCCAGCAGCCGCCGUAA